Molecule: transfer RNA, 83 nt
Filed under: Botrimarina hoheduenensis
Lineage: Bacteria; Pseudomonadati; Planctomycetota; Planctomycetia; Pirellulales; Lacipirellulaceae
Description: Planctomycetes bacterium Pla111 tRNA-Ser
Rfam family: tRNA
About the family: Transfer RNA (tRNA) molecules are approximately 80 nucleotides in length. Their secondary structure includes four short double-helical elements and three loops (D, anti-codon, and T loops). Further hydrogen bonds mediate the characteristic L-shaped molecular structure. tRNAs have two regions of fundamental functional importance: the anti-codon, which is responsible for specific mRNA codon recognition, and the 3' end, to which the tRNAs corresponding amino acid is attached (by aminoacyl-tRNA synthetases). tRNAs cope with the degeneracy of the genetic code in two manners: having more than one tRNA (with a specific anti-codon) for a particular amino acid; and 'wobble' base-pairing, i.e. permitting non-standard base-pairing at the 3rd anti-codon position.
Source: RNAcentral
GGAGGGUAUGCGAAUGGUUAGCAGGCUGACUCGAAAUCAGUUGCCGGGUAACCGGUUGAGGGUUCGAAUCCCUUGCCCUCCGC